RNAcentral lists this long non-coding RNA (227 nucleotides) under Linum usitatissimum (flax). RNAcentral describes it as "long non-coding RNA (LUSI_LNC000362)". Lineage: Eukaryota; Viridiplantae; Streptophyta; Magnoliopsida; Malpighiales; Linaceae. The record is from RNAcentral.
UGCUGGCUAAUAUCCCUAGGAAGUACCGACAGUGACUUAUACCUUCCAAUUUCCUGUACAAACAAUCAAGAACGAUAAGGAACUCUACGCACUCUUUUAGACAAGAUAUAAACAAAUUGUGAAGUAGAAAGUGAAGUAAAACCUUGCAUAUUUUGUGUAUACAUAGUUCCAUCAACGACGGGGAAUUGCAUCCUGUCUGGCAAUCAGUAAAAACAUGGCCACCAAAC